This 532-nucleotide long non-coding RNA is filed under the name Manihot esculenta (cassava). RNAcentral describes it as "long non-coding RNA (MESC_LNC006579)". Lineage: Eukaryota; Viridiplantae; Streptophyta; Magnoliopsida; Malpighiales; Euphorbiaceae. The record is from RNAcentral.
AGUUUUCGAGCCUCCUCCUGUCCCAAUCUACAAGCCAAAACCACCAGUCUUUAAGCCUCCUCCUGUUCCCAUCUACAAGCCAAAGCCACCAAUCUUCAAGCCUCCUCCUGUUCCUAUCUACAAGCCGAAGCCACCAAUCUUUAAGCAUCCUCCUAUUCCCAUCUACAAGCCAAAACCAAAGCCUCCUCCAGUUCCAAUCUACAAGCCCAAACCACCAGUUUACAAGCCUCCUCCAGUGCCAGUCUACAAGCCUGAACCAAAGCCACCAGUAUACAAGCCUCCUCCAGUGCCAGUCUACAAGCCUGAACCAAAGCCACCAGUAUACGAGCCUCCUCCAGUGCCAGUGUACAAGCCUGAACCAAAGCCACCAAUAUAUAACCCUCCUCCAGUUCCAAUCUACAAGCCAACACCACCAAUAUUUUAUAAGCCACUCCCUCCUAUCCCGAAGAUCCCUCCAUUUUACAAGAAGCCAUGUCCUCCUCUUCCUAAGCUUCCUCCUUUCCCAAAGAUUCCUCCGAAGCCUUUCCACCAC